AGUGAACGCUGGCGGUAGGCCUAACACAUGCAAGUCGAACGGCAGCACAGUAAGAGCUUGCUCUUACGGGUGGCGAGUGGCGGACGGGUGAGGAAUACAUCGGAAUCUACUUUUUCGUGGGGGAUAACGUAGGGAAACUUACGCUAAUACCGCAUACGACCUACGGGUGAAAGCAGGGGAUCUUCGGACCUUGCGCGAUUGAAUGAGCCGAUGUCGGAUUAGCUAGUUGGCGGGGUAAAGGCCCACCAAGGCGACGAUCCGUAGCCGGUCUGAGAGGAUGAUCGGCCACACUGGAACUGAGACACGGUCCAGACUCCUACGGGAGGCAGCAGUGGGGAAUAUUGGACAAUGGGCGCGAGCCUGAUCCAGCCAUACCGCGUGGGUGAAGAAGGCCUUCGGGUUGUGAAGCCCUUUUGUUGGGAAAGAAAAGCAGCAGGUUAAUACCCCGCUGUUCUGACGGUACCCAAAGAAUAAGCACCGGCUAACUUCGUG
This 492-nucleotide ribosomal RNA is filed under the name uncultured bacterium. RNAcentral's name for it is "partial 16S ribosomal RNA". It matches the Rfam family "Bacterial small subunit ribosomal RNA", at positions 29 to 507 of the family's 1533-position model. The record is from RNAcentral.